GCCUUCUGAUGCAUCCACCCCCAUCCCUGGCAGUAUGGCAGCCUGGACGUGCGGAACAAGACAGUGGAGGAAGUCUAUGUGGAGAUGCUGAAGCCCAGGGAUGGCGUCCGCCUGAAGGUGCAGUACCGCCCUGAGGAGUUCACGAAGGCCAAGGGCCUGCCUGGUGACAGCUUCUACAUCAGGGCCCUGUACGACCGGCUGGCAGAUGUGGAGCAUGAGUUGAGCUUUAAGAAGGACGACAUCCUCUACGUGGAUGACACCUUGCCCCAGGGCACGUUCGGGUCCUGGAUGGCUUGGCAGCUGGACGAGAAUGCC
RNAcentral lists this small RNA (315 nucleotides) under Pan troglodytes (chimpanzee). Its description in RNAcentral is "processed transcript". Lineage: Eukaryota; Metazoa; Chordata; Mammalia; Primates; Hominidae. The record is from RNAcentral.